Molecule: ribosomal RNA, 549 nt
Filed under: uncultured Dictyoglomota bacterium
Lineage: Bacteria; Pseudomonadati; Dictyoglomota
Description: bacterial SSU rRNA
Rfam family: Bacterial small subunit ribosomal RNA
Source: RNAcentral
GGCGAACGGGUGAGUAACACGUAGGUAAUCUGCCUUUCUGACGGGAACAACUCCGCGAAAGCGGGGCUAAUGCCCGAUAAGACCACGCCCAGGGAUGGGUGCGGCCAAAGGCGGGGUGGCAACAUCUCGCGCUGAGAGAUGAGCCUGCGUCCUAUCAGCUAGUUGGUGAGGCAAAAGCUCACCAAGGCGAAGACGGGUAGCCGGCCUGAGAGGGUGAACGGCCACACUGGGACUGAGACACGGCCCAGACUCCUACGGGAGGCAGCAGUGAGGAAUUUUCCGCAAUGGGCGCAAGCCUGACGGAGCGACGCCGCGUGAGGGAUGACGGCCUUCGGGUUGUAAACCUCUUUUAUGAGAGAAAAAGGUAUGCGUGCUCAUACCACGUAUAUUUGAUGGUAUCUCGUGAAUAAGCCCCGGCUAACUACGUGCCAGCAGCCGCGGUAAUACGUAGGGGGCGAGCGUUGUCCGGAUUUACUGGGCGUAAAGCGCGUGUAGGCGGUUGAUCAAGUCGGGUGUGAAAUGCUGCAGCUUAACUGCGGCACUGCGCUC